CUGGCGGAAGCUCAGUUGGUGAGAGCGACGGAUUUACAUUCCGUAGGUCCCUGGUUCGAGCCCAGGAUCGCCCAG
Molecule: transfer RNA, 75 nt
Filed under: Candidatus Omnitrophota bacterium
Lineage: Bacteria; Pseudomonadati; Candidatus Omnitrophota
Description: tRNA-Val
Rfam family: tRNA
About the family: Transfer RNA (tRNA) molecules are approximately 80 nucleotides in length. Their secondary structure includes four short double-helical elements and three loops (D, anti-codon, and T loops).
Source: RNAcentral